RNAcentral lists this small RNA (290 nucleotides) under Arabidopsis thaliana (thale cress). RNAcentral's name for it is "ATSL075770". The record is from RNAcentral. Lineage: Eukaryota; Viridiplantae; Streptophyta; Magnoliopsida; Brassicales; Brassicaceae.
AUGAACAUUAGGGUGAGAAGAGAUCGAGAGAAGAAUAGUUUGAUCAUCUUGUGAGAAAAAUAAUGGCUGCUUCAGUGAUGCUAUCUUCGGUGACAUUGAAACCAGCUGGUUUCACGGUGGAGAAGACGGCGGCUAGAGGAUUACCGUCGCUCACAAGAGCUCGUCCCUCCUUCAAAAUUGUCGCCAGUGGCGUCAAGAAGAUCAAGACCGACAAGCCCUUCGGUUCGUUUAUAUUAUUAUUACACAGACUUUUACAACAUAUACACGUUACCGUUCAUGUAUAGCUUAUU